Molecule: long non-coding RNA, 540 nt
Filed under: Equus caballus (horse)
Lineage: Eukaryota; Metazoa; Chordata; Mammalia; Perissodactyla; Equidae
Description: lncRNA (ENSECAG00000044534.1)
Source: RNAcentral
CAGACUUCAGCCAGGACGUGGGAGGACAACUGGACCCUGAUCUUUACAGAGAUCCAAUGUUGGUCUCCUUGGGGGUCUCAGUUUUCCAAACCAGAUGUGACCCCCAUCUGGAACACGGAGAAGAGCCAUAAAAGGCUAGGGAACGCUUUCCUGUCCAGAUCUGGUGGUCAGAUCUGAAACCAAAGAUGAACUCAGCACAGAGGUUUUCCCGGGAAGAACCAGCCCUUAGAGUCGUGAUGAGUAAGAACACUUAGCAGGAUGGCCUCUGCUCCCUGAGACAGGAUAACCUCCGCCCAGUGACUUGACAAACUGCCCCAAGGCACCGCAAAAUCCAGAGAGGCAACGAUGACAUGUGCUGUCCCCCCCCCCAGGCCCUUCCCUGGAGCCCAGAGUCUGUCCCAGGCUGGAGUCCACAGGCCGAUCCCAGUCGCUGCUCUUAGAAGGAAAGAAGGAAGUGCGGGUCCAGGGACUGGAAUGCAGAUAUGAUGAAAUGAUUCAAAUUCAACCUGCAGUCAGAGAAUGCAACCUCAGGGGUCGGAA